GCAGUGAAUCCUAUUGUCCCCCGGUUACCAUCGAUGAACAAAAAUAUGGAGCUCCUUUUUUGUGUACUGCCCCCUUAAAGGUAUCUCUAAAUUCAUUUGAUAUGUGUUUGUUCCAUUUGUUUCAUUUUAUGUAACAAAACAAUAUUUGUUGAAUUUAAGUAAUAAAAAUCGACACUAUAAAAAAUUCUUACCCCAUCAAGUCAUCUUUACCUUAGGUGGCUUGUUGAAAAAUACAUAACAUAAAUAUUUAUAUUGAUGGUAUAUACACUUCACUCUAUUUUGUUUGUUCAAUUCCAUUUUUUUUUUUUAAUUUGUACAACUUUCUAAAUUUUGCAACAAUUUAACUUAAAAUUUUCAAUUUUAAUGUAGGUACAUUUGAUUUUUUUGUGUUGUUUUUGUUACAGUUCAAAUAUGCAAAUUACCAGAAUGCCAAUUACACCAAGACUGGGAGGACUUCACUUAAAUUCCGUCUAAUCAACCAGCGUGGGGAUUUCUCCUUUGCCUUCUUCUCUGGUGGUUUGGAGAAUGUAAUUAUACUAUGAUGCUUCCCUACACAUUUCUAUUUUUUCCUUUUUGGUUAUUGAUAAACUCGUUCGAACCCUUUUGUCAAAUGUACUACUUUUGGAAGAUCCGAUAUGCACCCGUCAACAUAUUCAAAGAGUGCAAGCAACAUACAGAAGGCGUUGAUUUCUCACAUUGUCACUUAACUAGCUAAUAGUUAUUAUCUCAGAAACUUUCAGUGUCGAGGAAAAAAUGUAAACAAGAGAGGUAUUUCAUGAGAUAAUAAUUGUUAGUUGAGCGACCAUACGAGAAAUCAACCCGAUACAAGAGUACUUGAGCUUUGUAGGAUAUGUGUUAUACUUCAUGCUAAUGAUCAUUAUGAUUUAUGUUUGUCCUAUAUUUUGAAACUGUAACUUUGAUGAGACUUGGAUAUGGACUAAUUGAUUCAUGUGUUUUACAGCCUAAGUUGAUAGGCAUCUCAAAUUUCGUCGGCUAUGCCAAUCCGAAAGCGCCUCUUUAUCCGCGUCUUGCUCUUGGCAAGUCAUGGGAUAUUGUAAGUUCUUUUUUCUUGCUAUGCACUUAUUAACUCUUCUUCCUUAAGAUACAUUUGUGAUUUAUGAACCUGUAUAUGUUACGUGGGGUUCAAUAUCAAUAUUGAUUGUAGUAGUGUGUCGAGGUGAUCAAUUCAUCAAGUCCUUAAAUUGGAGUUGAUUCGUUAAUUCGAAUCCCCUUUGCUGUGUCACUGCAUACAAGUUGGAGAUUCGUGUUUACUUGUUAAGCAUCUAGUAAUCUAGUGCUCGUAUCAUGUCAUGAGAUUAACUUGUGUCUUUUUUAUUUCUCCUAGAUGACGGUCACUUGGACAAGUGGUUACAACAUAGACGAGGCUGUUCCAUUUGUCGAAUGGGGUUGGAAGGGCCAAGAGCAAAAGCGUUCCCCAGCCGGGACACUGACAUUUCAUCGGAACAGCAUGUGUGGUAUGAAAACUUCUAUGAAAAAAUGACUUUGUUGAGAUUAUUAGAUGAUUAGCUGCUAAGAUAUUUAUGUGCCAUGUCAGCAGUUAGUUGGAUGGUUUAGGAUGCUUAGUGGUAGAUUAGCUGGUGACAGCUGUGCAGCUAUGCACCUUAUUUCCGUUUCUAUAUAACUGAUAGGCUAGAGAUAUUUUCAUAUUCAUUCAGUUUAAUAUUCAUUCAGUUCAAUGAAAAAUCCCCAUAUGGGUUUUCAAUUGUCUCUCCCCCUUCUCUCUGUUUCAGCUAUUUUGCUCCCUUUAGGUUAAGAUUUCGUCAUGGUAUCAGAGAUAGGUUGCAAUUAUUGAUCAAAUUGCAGCUCGUAGUAGUUUGAUUUAGCUUGCAGAUUCCUAUUUUCGUGCAAUUUACUCCGUUCAUCGUCCAUUUUCUCUCCUCUAUAGUGAAAAUUUCGAUUUGAUUUGCUCAAAGUUAUCCAUCUAUGGAUGAAAACACCGAAAGUUAGGUAAAUUCAAGGAAGGAAACUACAGAUUCAAACAAUCCUUUAUACAUGCAUCCCUCUGAAAGUGCUCGAUCUGCGUUGGUCCCGGUGGUGUUUGAUGGAAGUGGAUAUAGGUCCUGGAGAUGAAGCGUGCUUAAGGCAAUUUCCGUGAAGAACAAAGUUGGUUUUGUUACUGGAAAAUGUAAGAAACCUGUUGUAGAAGACGCUAGUUACGAACAAUGGAUGUGCUGUUAUGAUAUGGUAACUUUAUGGAUCCUUAAUUCGCUCACGAAGGAUUUGGGAGAUAGUUUACAAUUCGUAAACGAUGCCAGAGAACUCUGGCAGGAAUUAGAAGAUCGAUAUGAUCAAACAAACAGUGCGAAAUUAUACCAGGUGCAGAGAGAGAUCAAUGACCUGAGUCAGGGAGCCUUAGAUAUCACUGGUUACUACACGAAGAUGAAAAAGUUGUGGGAAGAGUUCAGUGCCCUGACUACACAUGCAGAAUGUACCUGUCAUUGCACAUGUGGGGCUAAGAUGAGCAUGCAAAAGGCUGAGCAAGAUAGGAGGUUGAUUUUGUUUCUAAUGGGACUAAAUGAGGUGUACACCGUAGUGAGAGGGAGUAUGCUUAUGAUGAAUCCACUGCCCACUGUUGCACAAGCUUUUUCCAUACUCAUCCAAGAGGAGAAGCAACGGGAAGUUAGGCCAAGCAGCCAAUAGUUUUUGGAAUCUGCAUCUAUGUACGCAAAUAGAGCUAGUGGCAGUAACUCGAAGGGACAUUACAGUCACAAUCAGAACAACAUCAAUACUGGAAAUUUCAGAACAAACUACAGUGGUAACUCAAGUACUGACUAUAGAAAUGAUGGAUACAAUUCUAACAGACCUAGACCAUUUUGUGAGCAUUGUAGGAGACCCGGGCACACUAAAGACAAAUGUUUCAAGAUCCAUGGAUACCCACAGGGCCCUUCUUUUCCUCCUUCACAGGCUCCUAGGUACAACAAUUACAAUAAUAACAAAGGAAAACGACUUGCAGCAAAUGCAUAUGGUGAAAGUUUUGACACCGGAGAGAAUGAAUGUGGACCAAGUGAACAUGGAAGAGCAAUGCAACAUCUAACCAAGGAACAAUAUGGACAACUGGUCAAGAUAUUGGGUAGUUUGCAGAUUGGUACCAAUACAAAUGAAACUUCAACUUUGAAUGGCGAUGUACAUGGAGGAGCUGUAAACUUCGCAGGUAUUAUUGCUUGCUCUACUUCUGUUGAACAUGGGAAUCAAUGUAGUGAAUUGCCUAGAUCGAAUGUUGAUACUUGGAUCCUUGCUUCUGGAGCAACAAACCACAUGACUCACAACAGAAAAAUCCUCAUUAAUGCAAAAUCACUAAUAUAUCCCUUCCUAGUGUCUUUACCAAAUGGUUACAAAGUUAAGGUGACUCUAAUUGGUGAUGUUGUUCUUAGUCCAACCAUCACUCUAAAGCAAGUCUUAUUUGUUCCUUGUUUCAAGUUUAAUUUGAUUUCCAUCGCUGAUUUAACAGUUCAACUCAAUUGUGUUGUAGUCUUUACCAGAUUUUCAUGCCUUUUUCUACAGGGCCCUUCACAGAAGAGGCCUCUGGAGAUUGGUAGCACUAAAGGCAGUCUUUAUCUUCACUACUCAGAAUCAAGUCAAGCCAAAUCUAAUCCUUCUUCUGCUGCUUUGUCAAAUUCCACUGUUAAUUCAUGUUCUGGGGAUAUACAUAAAGUGUCUAAUUCUUUCAUUACUAAGUCUAGUUGUUCUACUGAUGUGUCAAAUUCCCUUGUGGUGUCUUGUAAUAAGUCUGCACCUAGUGUUUCCUCUACUGUGUUUCCUUGUAGUAAACUCAUCUCCACUUGUCGUAAGUUUGUAACAAAGGAUUCUAUUUCAUUUAAUGAAAGGGAUUUUUUUGUUAAUAAUGCAUCUUUACCUGCUGAAAUGGAUGUAAAUAUCUUAUGGCAUCACAGAUUGGGACAUGUGCCCUUUGUUAAAAUGAGGAGUAUCCCCUCUAUACCAGCCUCUUUUCCACAUAAACAACCUUUUUUUGGUCAUAUAUGUCCCAUGGCCAGACAAAGCAGAUUGCCAUUUCCCCAAAAGACUACCAAUUCUACUCAAGUUUUUCAGUUACUGCAUGUAGACCUCUGGGGCCCUUACAAUGUUGAAACCCAUGAUAAAUGCAGAUAUUUCAUUACCUUUGUGGAUGACUAUAGUAAAUGCACUUGGACACACCUACUUAGUUGCAAGAGCAAUGCCUUACACACUAUCAAAAUAUUUUUUUCUAUGGUGGAAAACCAAUUUAAUACUACCAUUAAAAUCAUCAGAACUGAUAAUGGUUUGGAAUUCUGCAAUCAUGAAUCCAAAAAUUUUUUCCGACUCAAAGGAAUUGUACACCAAAAGACUUGUCCCUACACAACACAACAAAAUGAUGUGGUGGAUAGAAAACACAAAUACCUCCUUGAGACAGCAAGAGCACUCUUCUACCAAUCCAAAUUGCCUCUCAUAUAUUGGGGUGAAUGCAUUCUUACAUCCACCUACAUAAUCAAUAGACUGCCCUCUUCUUCCAUACAUAAUCUCACCCUUUAUGAACGAUUAUAUAAGAAAAAACCCCUUUACUGCCACCUUAGGAGUUUUGGCUGCCUUUGCUAUCCCACCACACUCAAGAAUCACAAAGAUAAAUUUGAGCCUAGAUCACUUCCUCAUGUGUUUGUAGGAUACCCUUAUGGAACCAAAAGUUACAGGGUUCUUAAUCUAGCCACUAGAAAGAUAUAUGUUUCAAGGGAUGUGUUGGUUUAUGAAAAUAUUUUUCCUUUUGUUCUAUCUUCUGAUCCUAGAGACAUGCACUAUGAUUUUGGUAACUCUUCUUCUUUUCCUGUGUCUAAUUGCCCUUCUGUCGUGUCUACUGGUUGGUCUUGUCCCAAACCUUUUGACUAUGUCUCCUCUAACACAUCUCCUUCCUCACCACCCACUCACACCGAUCUUGAUAACCCUAUUGAGUCACUACAUUCCGGUCGUCAUGAGGAGUCACCUGAACCAGUACUUGAUAGUGAUUUGGGAUUUUCCUUGCCUGAUGAUACUUCCCCGAGUCACACAUCUCAUCAUACUAACUCCAGUACACAUAUUUCAUCCACACCUAUCAACAACGAUCCCUCUACUCCACACUUAUCCACUCUUGAAGUUGCUCCAAAUAGACCAUCUAGAUUACACAAGUUACCCUCUUAUCUGAAAGACUAUGUUUGUACUCUUCCUAGUCUUUACUCUGUUCCUAUCACCUCAACUAGUAACACUGCUAGUUCCCAUUCUACCUCACAUAGUCCCAGCUCUUACUUCUGCUCCCAUCUUUCUGCUACUCAUCACAUAUCCCUUAAUGCCUUGGAUCCUGCUAGUCAACAUUUGAUCAAAGCUGUUUCACUUGAUUGUGAGCCUAUCUCAUAUGAAGAGGCUGCAAGAUUGCCUGCUUGGCAAACAACAAUGAAUCAGGGAUUUGAAGCAUUUCAUGCUAACGACACUUGGGAUUUAGUCCCUCUUCCACAUAGAAAGAAGGCUAUAGGUUGCAAGUGGGUGUAUAAAAUAAAACACAAAGCUGAUGAUAGUGUGGAAAGACUCAAGGCAAGGUUGGUUGUAAAAGGGUACACUCAACAGGCUGGAAUAGACCAUACGGAGACUUUUUCACCUGUUGUGAAGAUGACAACUGUGAGGACUUUAAUUGGUGUUGCAGUAAAAAGAGGGUGGGACAUCUUUCAACU
This 5687-nucleotide long non-coding RNA is filed under the name Capsicum annuum. Its description in RNAcentral is "long non-coding RNA (CANN_LNC011109)". Lineage: Eukaryota; Viridiplantae; Streptophyta; Magnoliopsida; Solanales; Solanaceae. The record is from RNAcentral.